GACGAACCGUGCGAACGUUAUUCGGAAUCACUGGGCUUAAAGCGCGUGUAGGCGGAAGGGCACGUCUGGUGCUGAAAUCCCCCGGCUCAACCGGGGAACGGGCACGGAUACGACUCUUCUGGAGGAACGUAGGGGGACCUGGAACUUCCGGUGGAGCGGUGAAAUGCGUAGAUAUCGAGAGGAACACCUGCGGCGAAGGCGGGUUGCUGGGCUGAUACUGACGCUGAGGCGCGAAAGCCAGGGGAGCGAACGGG
RNAcentral lists this ribosomal RNA (254 nucleotides) under uncultured bacterium. Its description in RNAcentral is "partial 16S ribosomal RNA". It matches the Rfam family "Bacterial small subunit ribosomal RNA", at positions 524 to 776 of the family's 1533-position model. The record is from RNAcentral.